This 684-nucleotide ribosomal RNA is filed under the name uncultured Bacteroidota bacterium. RNAcentral describes it as "bacterial SSU rRNA". It matches the Rfam family "Bacterial small subunit ribosomal RNA", at positions 62 to 749 of the family's 1533-position model. Lineage: Bacteria; Pseudomonadati; Bacteroidota. The record is from RNAcentral.
UCGAGGGGUAGGGUAGCAAUACCUGAGACCGGCGCACGGGUGCGUAACGCGUAUGCAACCUACCUUUUACAGGGGAAUAGCCCAGAGAAAUUUGGAUUAAUGCCCCAUGGUAUCUUCGAGUGGCAUCACUUGAUUAUUAAAGUUCCAACGGUAAAAGAUGGGCAUGCGUCCUAUUAGCUAGAUGGUAAGGUAACGGCUUACCAUGGCUACGAUAGGUAGGGGUCCUGAGAGGGAGAUCCCCCACACUGGUACUGAGACACGGACCAGACUCCUACGGGAGGCAGCAGUGAGGAAUAUUGGACAAUGGGCGCAAGCCUGAUCCAGCCAUGCCGCGUGCAGGAAGAAGCAUCUAUGGUGUGUAAACUGCUUUUGUACGGGAAGAAACACUCCUACGUGUAGGAGCUUGACGGUACCGUAAGAAUAAGGAUCGGCUAACUCCGUGCCAGCAGCCGCGGUAAUACGGAGGAUCCAAGCGUUAUCCGGAAUCAUUGGGUUUAAAGGGUCCGUAGGCGGUUUAUUAAGUCAGUGGUGAAAUCCCGCAGCUCAACUGUGGAAUGGCCAUUGAUACUGAUAGACUUGAAUUAUUGGGAAGUAACUAGAAUAUGUAGUGUAGCGGUGAAAUGCUUAGAUAUUACAUGGAAUACCAAUUGCGAAGGCAGGUUACUACCAAUAUAUUGACGCUGA